This is a long non-coding RNA of Octopus sinensis (East Asian common octopus), 134 nucleotides long. RefSeq lists it as uncharacterized. The record is from RefSeq and is a predicted model, not a curated record. The transcript is spliced from 3 exons. Lineage: Eukaryota; Metazoa; Mollusca; Cephalopoda; Octopoda; Octopodidae.
CUGCCCUUGCCAAUUUUGUGGGGCAGUGCAUGUAAUUUGGAGGAAGGUGAUUUUUUUCCGUCCUGUUAUACAACAGGGCGGCCAUCACCUCCCUUGCCUCAAUUUCUGGUGGUACUUCUUUCACCUGCACUUGA